GCUUUUGCGGGGAUAGAGCAACGGUUUCCUAAACCGCAGGUCGCAUGUUCGAUUCAUGCCGGGGGCACCA
Molecule: transfer RNA, 70 nt
Filed under: Actinomycetota bacterium
Lineage: Bacteria; Bacillati; Actinomycetota
Description: Actinobacteria bacterium tRNA-Arg
Rfam family: tRNA
About the family: Transfer RNA (tRNA) molecules are approximately 80 nucleotides in length. Their secondary structure includes four short double-helical elements and three loops (D, anti-codon, and T loops). Further hydrogen bonds mediate the characteristic L-shaped molecular structure. tRNAs have two regions of fundamental functional importance: the anti-codon, which is responsible for specific mRNA codon recognition, and the 3' end, to which the tRNAs corresponding amino acid is attached (by aminoacyl-tRNA synthetases). tRNAs cope with the degeneracy of the genetic code in two manners: having more than one tRNA (with a specific anti-codon) for a particular amino acid; and 'wobble' base-pairing, i.e. permitting non-standard base-pairing at the 3rd anti-codon position.
Source: RNAcentral